UAAACAAUAGGUUUGGUCCUGGCCUUUUUAUUAAUUGUUUGCAGAAUUAUACAUGCAAGAAUUCCCAUGCGAGUGAAAAUGCACUGUGCACCACAUCUUAGGCUAAAAGGAGUGGGUAUCAAGCACACUACAAAGUACCUCUCAACACCUUGCUUGGCCACAACCCCAUGGGAGACAGCAGGAGUAAAAAUUAAGCAAUAAAUGCAAGUUUGACUAAGUCAUGAAACUACCAGGGUUGGUAAAUUUUGUGCCAGCCACCGCGGUCAUACGAUUAACCCAAAUUAAUAAAACCCGGUGUAAAAGUGUUUUAGAAAGGCAAAAGUAAGUCUAAGCUUUAUCCAAGUCAUAGAAAACUCCAGAUAAAAGUCUAAACCAAAAAUGAAAGUAAUCUUAAUAAGUCUGAACAUAGGAAAGCUAAGGCCCAGACUGGGAUUAGAUAUCCCACUAUGCUUAGCUGUAAACAUGAAAACUUGCAUAACAAAAGUUUUUGCCUGAGAACCACUAGCAAAAACUUAAAACUCAAAGGACUUGGCAGUGCUUUACACCCACCUAGAAGAGCCUGUUCUAUAAUUGAUAAACCCCGAUACACCUCACCACCCCUUGCUAAUCUAGCCUAUAUACUGCCAUCUUCAGCAAACCCAAUUAUGGAAAUAAAGCAAGCACAAGUAUAUUACAUUAAAAACAUUAGGUCAAGGUGUAGCCAAUGGAGUGGGAAGAAAUGGGCUACAUUUUCUUACUGAAGACCUGUAGACCCCAAUCUUUGUAAAACCUAAGGACCUAAGGAGGAUUUAGUAGUAAACCAAAAAUAGAGAGCUUGGUUGAACUAGGCAGUGAAGCACGUACACAUUGCUCUUCACUCUCUUCAAGUACUCAAAAGUUUUCAAUCUAAAACUAAUAAAUCUAAGAGGGGACAAGUCAUAACAAGGUAAGCAUUGUAUAAUGAAUUAACUAGAAC
This is a ribosomal RNA of Cavia porcellus (domestic guinea pig), 955 nucleotides long. It matches the Rfam family "Bacterial small subunit ribosomal RNA". NCBI's taxonomy places the organism in Eukaryota, Metazoa, Chordata, Mammalia, Rodentia, Caviidae. The record is from Rfam.